AACCUAGCACACCUGCGGUGUGUACCUGCGGAAGGAUCAUUACCGAGUUGUACAACUCAUCAACCCUGUGAACAUACCUAAAACGUUGCCUCGGCGGGAACAGACGGCCCCGUAACACGGGCCGCCCCCGCCAGAGGACCCCCUAACUCUGUUUCUAUAAUGUUUUUUCUGAGUAAACAAGCAAAUAAAUCAAAACUUUUAACAACGGAUCU
RNAcentral lists this unclassified non-coding RNA (212 nucleotides) under soil metagenome. Its description in RNAcentral is "partial contains 5.8S ribosomal RNA, internal transcribed spacer 2, and large subunit ribosomal RNA". The record is from RNAcentral.